This 429-nucleotide ribosomal RNA is filed under the name bacterium. Its description in RNAcentral is "partial 16S ribosomal RNA". It matches the Rfam family "Bacterial small subunit ribosomal RNA", at positions 355 to 776 of the family's 1533-position model. The record is from RNAcentral.
UAGGGAAUCUUCGGCAAUGGACGAAAGUCUGACCGAGCAACGCCGCGUGAGUGAAGAAGGUUUUCGGAUCGUAAAACUCUGUUGUUAGAGAAGAACAAGGACGUUAGUAACUGAACGUCCCCUGACGGUAUCUAACCAGAAAGCCACGGCUAACUACGUGCCAGCAGCCGCGGUAAUACGUAGGUGGCAAGCGUUGUCCGGAUUUAUUGGGCGUAAAGCGAGCGCAGGCGGUUUCUUAAGUCUGAUGUGAAAGCCCCCGGCUCAACCGGGGAGGGUCAUUGGAAACUGGGAGACUUGAGUGCAGAAGAGGAGAGUGGAAUUCAAUGUGUAGCGGUGAAAUGCGUGGAUAUAUGGAGGGAGGCCAGUGGCGAAGGCGGCUCUCUGGUCUGUAACUGACGCUGAGGCUCGAAAGCGUGGGGAGCAAACAGG